GUUCAAAAUGCAGGAACUUUCACUUCCCACUGUGAGCCUCCAAGGGAGUGUGUACAUCUGCAUCCUGCUGCCUCAUGCAUGGAGAUAGCCUUUCUGUUCAACCUGUCAUCUGUUAUGAUCCCACUUCAUCCCAUCAAUGGGAUCUUACUCCUUCAGCCACCCCCUUGGCACCUGUACUUUCAGCUGCUCAGCCUCUACUGGUCCGUUGCCCUCAGCCAAAAAACGCCCCUUCAACCCUGCACUCCUGGUUAUUACC
This 256-nucleotide long non-coding RNA is filed under the name Homo sapiens (human). Its description in RNAcentral is "LHRI_LNC480.1". Lineage: Eukaryota; Metazoa; Chordata; Mammalia; Primates; Hominidae. The record is from RNAcentral.